UACGUAGGGUGCGAGCGUUAAUCGGAAUUACUGGGCGUAAAGCGUGCGCAGGCGGUUCGUUAUGUCCGUUGUGAAAGCCCCGGGCUCAACCUGGGAAUGGCAAUGGAAACUGGCGAGCUUGAGUGUGGCAGAGGGGGGUGGAAUUCCGCGUGUAGCAGUGAAAUGCGUAGAGAUGCGGAGGAACACCGAUGGCGAAGGCAGCCCCCUGGGCUGACACUGACGCUCAGGCACGAAAGCGUGGGGAGCAAACAGG
RNAcentral lists this ribosomal RNA (253 nucleotides) under uncultured bacterium. RNAcentral's name for it is "partial 16S ribosomal RNA". It matches the Rfam family "Bacterial small subunit ribosomal RNA", at positions 524 to 776 of the family's 1533-position model. The record is from RNAcentral.